This 2704-nucleotide ribosomal RNA is filed under the name Vibrio cholerae. Its description in RNAcentral is "23S ribosomal RNA". It matches the Rfam family "Bacterial large subunit ribosomal RNA". The record is from RNAcentral. Lineage: Bacteria; Pseudomonadati; Pseudomonadota; Gammaproteobacteria; Vibrionales; Vibrionaceae.
AGGCGAACUGAAACAUCUAAGUACCCCGAGGAGAAGAAAUCAACCGAGAUUCCGGUAGUAGCGGCGAGCGAACCUGGAUUAGCCCUUAAGCACUCGGUGAAGUAGGUGAACAAGCUGGAAAGCUUGGCGAUACAGGGUGAUAGCCCCGUAACCGACGCUUCAUCGAGCGUGAAAUCGAGUAGGGCGGGACACGUGAUAUCCUGUCUGAAUAUGGGGGGACCAUCCUCCAAGGCUAAAUACUCCUGACUGACCGAUAGUGAACCAGUACCGUGAGGGAAAGGCGAAAAGAACCCCUGUGAGGGGAGUGAAAUAGAACCUGAAACCGUGUACGUACAAGCAGUAGGAGCACCUUCGUGGUGUGACUGCGUACCUUUUGUAUAAUGGGUCAGCGACUUAUAUUCAGUGGCAAGGUUAACCGUAUAGGGGAGCCGUAGCGAAAGCGAGUCUUAACUGGGCGCUCAGUCUCUGGAUAUAGACCCGAAACCGGGUGAUCUAGCCAUGGGCAGGUUGAAGGUUGAGUAACAUCAACUGGAGGACCGAACCGACUAAUGUUGAAAAAUUAGCGGAUGACUUGUGGCUAGGGGUGAAAGGCCAAUCAAACUCGGAGAUAGCUGGUUCUCCCCGAAAGCUAUUUAGGUAGCGCCUCGGACGAAUACUACUGGGGGUAGAGCACUGUUAAGGCUAGGGGGUCAUCCCGACUUACCAACCCUUUGCAAACUCCGAAUACCAGUAAGUACUAUCCGGGAGACACACGGCGGGUGCUAACGUCCGUCGUGGAGAGGGAAACAACCCAGACCGCCAGCUAAGGUCCCAAAGUAUUGCUAAGUGGGAAACGAUGUGGGAAGGCUCAGACAGCUAGGAUGUUGGCUUAGAAGCAGCCAUCAUUUAAAGAAAGCGUAAUAGCUCACUAGUCGAGUCGGCCUGCGCGGAAGAUGUAACGGGGCUAAGCAAUACACCGAAGCUGCGGCAAUAUCUUUUAGAUAUUGGGUAGGGGAGCGUUCUGUAAGCCGUUGAAGAUGAAUCGUAAGGUUUGCUGGAGGUAUCAGAAGUGCGAAUGCUGACAUGAGUAACGACAAAGGGGGUGAAAAACCUCCUCGCCGGAAGACCAAGGGUUCCUGUCCAACGUUAAUCGGGGCAGGGUGAGUCGACCCCUAAGGUGAGGCCGAAAGGCGUAAUCGAUGGGAAACGGGUUAAUAUUCCCGUACUUCUGACUAUUGCGAUGGGGGGACGGAGAAGGCUAGGUGGGCCAGGCGACGGUUGUCCUGGUUCAAGUGCGUAGGCUUGAGAGUUAGGUAAAUCCGGCUCUCUCUAAGGCUGAGACACGACGUCGAGCUGCUACGGCAGUGAAGUCAUUGAUGCCAUGCUUCCAGGAAAAGCCUCUAAGCUUCAGAUAGUCAGGAAUCGUACCCCAAACCGACACAGGUGGUCGGGUAGAGAAUACCAAGGCGCUUGAGAGAACUCGGGUGAAGGAACUAGGCAAAAUGGUACCGUAACUUCGGGAGAAGGUACGCUCUUGAUGGUGAAGUCCCUCGCGGAUGGAGCUGACGAGAGUCGCAGAUACCAGGUGGCUGCAACUGUUUAUUAAAAACACAGCACUGUGCAAAAUCGCAAGAUGACGUAUACGGUGUGACGCCUGCCCGGUGCCGGAAGGUUAAUUGAUGGGGUUAGCGCAAGCGAAGCUCUUGAUCGAAGCCCCGGUAAACGGCGGCCGUAACUAUAACGGUCCUAAGGUAGCGAAAUUCCUUGUCGGGUAAGUUCCGACCUGCACGAAUGGCGUAAUGAUGGCCACGCUGUCUCCACCCGAGACUCAGUGAAAUUGAAAUCGCUGUGAAGAUGCAGUGUACCCGCGGCUAGACGGAAAGACCCCGUGAACCUUUACUACAGCUUGGCACUGAACAUUGAACCUACAUGUGUAGGAUAGGUGGGAGGCUAUGAAGACGUGACGCCAGUUGCGUUGGAGCCGUCCUUGAAAUACCACCCUUGUAUGUUUGAUGUUCUAACUUAGACCCAUUAUCUGGGUUGAGGACAGUGCCUGGUGGGUAGUUUGACUGGGGCGGUCUCCUCCCAAAGAGUAACGGAGGAGCACGAAGGUGGGCUAAUCACGGUUGGACAUCGUGAGGUUAGUGCAAUGGCAUAAGCCCGCUUAACUGCGAGAAUGACGGUUCGAGCAGGUGCGAAAGCAGGUCAUAGUGAUCCGGUGGUUCUGUAUGGAAGGGCCAUCGCUCAACGGAUAAAAGGUACUCCGGGGAUAACAGGCUGAUACCGCCCAAGAGUUCAUAUCGACGGCGGUGUUUGGCACCUCGAUGUCGGCUCAUCACAUCCUGGGGCUGAAGUCGGUCCCAAGGGUAUGGCUGUUCGCCAUUUAAAGUGGUACGCGAGCUGGGUUUAGAACGUCGUGAGACAGUUCGGUCCCUAUCUGCCGUGGGCGUUGGAAGAUUGAAGGGGGCUGCUCCUAGUACGAGAGGACCGGAGUGGACGAACCUCUGGUGUUCGGGUUGUGUCGCCAGACGCAUUGCCCGGUAGCUAAGUUCGGAAUUGAUAAGCGCUGAAAGCAUCUAAGCGCGAAGCGAGCCCUGAGAUGAGUCUUCCCUGAUACUUUAAGUAUCCUAAAGGGUUGUUCGAGACUAGAACGUUGAUAGGCAGGGUGUGUAAGCGUUGUGAGGCGUUGAGCUAACCUGUACUAAUUGCCCGUGAGGCUUAACCA